Perca fluviatilis (European perch) is the source of this 2370-nucleotide long non-coding RNA. RefSeq lists it as uncharacterized. The record is from RefSeq and is a predicted model, not a curated record. The transcript has 2 exons. Lineage: Eukaryota; Metazoa; Chordata; Actinopteri; Perciformes; Percidae.
UGUCAUUUCAGGCAAAGAGUGCAACCCUGCUCCUCCCCUUCCACCUCCAGUCAUCAUCACCCACGGCACCCUGGGUCUUCCUCCGGCAGACCUCUCCCGUUGACUCCUUCGGUCCGGUCUUCGGGCUACUUCACCACCACCACCACCAGUGUCCAGACUCCAUCGGGGGGAUAUGUCUCGGCUUUUCUACCCCUUUAAAAAAAUAUUUUUUAUAAAAAUGGAGUCUAAUCUUCAAAGACUCUUUACAUUUCAUAUAUGCAUAUGCACAAAUAAACUUUGCAUAUUUGCAACAAAGUCUCUCCUGAUUGAAAUGGUGGAGUGCAACCUCAUCGAUGGAUGGCUGGAGUUGCCGGGAAACGCUGUGGAUCCUGGGGUUAUUGUGUAUAGCUUUAUUGAUGCUUUGAAUUCAAAUGAAUUAAAAGUAAAAAAUUGUAUGAGUAUGAGUAUAAUAUAAUAUUUUCAUGACAUUUAAUUGAGGUUAAGCUGGAUUUAAUGUAAGCAGAAUUGCUGCUUCCUAUUGAAACAGUCAUGGAAAAUGCGAGAGGAAACAGACUGUUUUGACCAUUUGCUGAUGGGGCUGCAUAAGGGUUCAGCAGCUCCUUCAACAAUGAGGAUUGUGAUUUUAAAUGUCAUUGCCAGCGUGAAGCGGCAUUCCGGCAAAAUAGUCCAAGUAGGUCAAGAAGCAUUGUAUUCUCAUCCUCUGCAGAAAAUGCAUAGCGAUAACAAAGGGCACAGAGCAUAGGCAGAAGCCUGUCCUGCAUUUGACAUUGACUAUCUCUACUUUCACCGAAAAAGACUGAAACAUUCACAAUCUAUAGUCUAUAAUUUGCCGCUUAUCAGCAAGUCCGACCAUCAAAUAAUAGUUUCUGAAAUGUUUGGGCCUAUUUUUCAUUUUGACAAUGCAUAAAAUGGAACUGCUCAACUUUUCAAAUGAGCUGCCGCAUCUUGCAAUGGAGGAAGACAACUACUGAAUUGCUUUCAAAAGUGAAAAACACUGGUACACAACAGUCUUCCAUAUUUAGAGACAUAAAAACAUCAGAAGCACAAUUCAGGUACUGUUAAUAUCUAUUUGCCUGACAAGGCAGUGUCCUUGAACAACAUAAAUCAAUUUUGUGUAAAACGUUUAUUGACCUUUAAAAAUGUUGAGAGAUCACUGUUAUUUCUGUCAGCCUUUGACUUUGACUGUCUGUCUGACGUGACUCCUAACAUUGCACUCAAUGAUAAUGUCGGAUUUCAGAAUCCUAUCAAAUAUAUACAGUAUGAAUCCCUGAUAUUGCGAUAUCAGAUAUUGGUUAUUUGCAUAUAAAAACCUUUCUGCUCCAGAGAAAAGAUUGCUUCGGGAUGCUGCAUCUACAAAGUGCUCCUACAAUAUAUGAAUAUACAGUAUGCCAUGCAAAAAAUAUAAAAUUAUAAUGGAAAGAGUUAAUUAUUCAGAACCUUUUUUGCAAAUUAACCUUAUAAGUCUUCAAAACAUAAAAAUAGGUUAUUUAUCAUGUGAAAGUGUACUUGUACUUUUACCAUGAAGUACAUUUGUCAUAAAAUCAGAGAAAAUAUAAGUGGAGUCUUGUGAGAUAAUUACCCUUGGCUAUGGUAUAUGCCUAUGAUCUACAACCCUUGCUAGAGAGAAGAUGCUGAAGAAAAUAGAGGCACACAACGGGAUCAAUAUCUAUUUCAUGCUUCUGUAGAACAAUUGGCCCUGUACAAUGUAUUGGUGCAACAACUCAAUUUUGACCUGCUCUGUGUGUAUGAAUUGGUAUUAAGGAGUUUGGUCACAUAGAGCCUGAUGACGCCUGUAAGUUUUAUGUUACAGUCAAAUAAAAUAACACAGAGUCAUUUUUAUCAUUAGUGCAGCUCCAGCUCAGCAGGGCCCUUCUGUUUUUCUGGGACAAUGCACCAUGUUUGUUGUGGUUAUGGAUAUCCUGUUGCCUGUUUGCGUAUUUCUGUAUGUUUCCUGUUUUGUAUAUUUAUUCUGUAUAUUUCUGUUCCUGUUUUGUGUUUUCUGAGUAGUGUAUGUUUCUGUUUCCUGUUUUAUUUUGAUAGUCUGUUUUUUGUCUUGUCGUGUCUAGUUUGCUUCCUGCGUUUUCCCGCCUGUGUCAUUGUCUAAUGUGCUCCACCUGUUCCCCAGCCCUGUUGUCACCUGUGUUUGCUCGUUACCUAGUUUAUUUAGCCUCUGUGUUUCCAUUGUCUCUUGUCAGAUCGUUGUUUGUGUUCGUGUCUUGCCUGGUCAGUUUGUUCCUGUCAGCGGUUUUCACCCAUGUGGCUGUAUUUGGUUUUCCUGUGAUCUUUUGUUCCUGUUAGUUUUUGCUUUUUGGAUCUCCUUCGGUUUGCUCCCUGUUUUUUGUGUUUAAUAAACCCUUGAGCUCAACCUUC